This 84-nucleotide transfer RNA is filed under the name Oscillatoriales cyanobacterium SM2_2_1. RNAcentral describes it as "tRNA-Leu". It matches the Rfam family "tRNA". From Rfam's summary of the family: Transfer RNA (tRNA) molecules are approximately 80 nucleotides in length. Their secondary structure includes four short double-helical elements and three loops (D, anti-codon, and T loops). Lineage: Bacteria; Bacillati; Cyanobacteriota; Cyanophyceae; Oscillatoriales. The record is from RNAcentral.
GGGGAUGUGGCGGAAUGGUAGACGCUACGGACUUAAAAUCCGUUGACCGAUAAGGUCGUGCGAGUUCGAGUCUCGCUAUCCCUA